GACAGAGGUGCCAAGCGUUAGGCGGAAUCACUGGGCUUAAAGCGUGUGUAGGCGGAAUUGUAAGUACCUUGUGAAAUCCCACGGCUCAACCGUGGAACUGCUCGGUAUACUGCUUUUCUUGAGCCACUUAGGGGCUACCGGAACAAAUGGUGGAGCGGUGAAAUGCGUAGAUAUGCGGAGGAACACCGAUGGCGAAGGCAAUCCCCUGGGCCUGCACUGACGCUCAUGCACGAAAGCGUGGGGAGCAAACAGG
This 253-nucleotide ribosomal RNA is filed under the name uncultured bacterium. RNAcentral's name for it is "partial 16S ribosomal RNA". It matches the Rfam family "Bacterial small subunit ribosomal RNA", at positions 524 to 776 of the family's 1533-position model. The record is from RNAcentral.